UCAGCUGAAGAUUUUGAGCCAGCUCUAAUUCCUGCUGAGACUAUUCCGGAUCCAAAUGAUAAGAAGCCAGAGGAUUGGGAUGAAAGGGCAAAGAUUCCAGACCCAGAUGCAGUGAAGCCAGAUGAUUGGGAUGAGGAUGCACCCAUGGAGAUUGAAGAUGAGGAAGCUGUCAAGCCUGAAGGGUGGUUGGAUGAUGAGCCUGAGGAGAUCGAUGAUCCUGAUGCUUCAAAGCCAGAAGAUUGGGAU
Molecule: long non-coding RNA, 246 nt
Filed under: Vitis vinifera (wine grape)
Lineage: Eukaryota; Viridiplantae; Streptophyta; Magnoliopsida; Vitales; Vitaceae
Description: long non-coding RNA (VVIN_LNC000320)
Source: RNAcentral